UUCGGCCUUAGUGGCGCACGGGUGCGUAACGCGUGGGAAUCUGCCCCUCGGUUCGGAAUAACAGUUGGAAACGACUGCUAAUACCGGAUGAUGACGUAAGUCCAAAGAUUUAUCGCCGAGGGAUGAGCCCGCGUAGGAUUAGCUAGUUGGUGUGGUAAAGGCGCACCAAGGCGACGAUCCUUAGCUGGUCUGAGAGGAUGAUCAGCCACACUGGGACUGAGACACGGCCCAGACUCCUACGGGAGGCAGCAGUGGGGAAUAUUGGACAAUGGGCGAAAGCCUGAUCCAGCAAUGCCGCGUGAGUGAUGAAGGCCUUAGGGUUGUAAAGCUCUUUUACCCGGGAUGAUAAUGACAGUACCGGGAGAAUAAGCUCCGGCUAACUCCGUGCCAGCAGCCGCGGUAAUACGGAGGGAGCUAGCGUUAUUCGGAAUUACUGGGCGUAAAGCGCACGUAGGCGGCUUUGUAAGUUAGAGGUGAAAGCC
Molecule: ribosomal RNA, 482 nt
Filed under: uncultured Sphingomonas sp.
Lineage: Bacteria; Pseudomonadati; Pseudomonadota; Alphaproteobacteria; Sphingomonadales; Sphingomonadaceae
Description: bacterial SSU rRNA
Rfam family: Bacterial small subunit ribosomal RNA
Source: RNAcentral